CCAUACUUAUAGUUUUCCAAACGGGCGGCGCGGCACUACACGGCACUAGCACGGUGCUGGCACGGCACUAACAGGCACGGCCCUAUCAGGCACGCGUGCCAGCCGUGUCGUGCCGAGUAGGGCUACCGUGCCAAGCUCCAGGCACGGGCACUACACUAAGGGCGAGAAUUAGUGUCGUGUCGUGCCCAAGGGCACGGCAGCCCGCCAGUGAACAUUAGAUUAGUGUCGUGCAGCACCGUCAGCAGCAGAACCCUCGAAGAGCUCCUCGGCAGCACGAGGGCCCAAGAGCUCCUCGUCAUCCCCAAAGAGAUCGUCCUCAUCGUCUCCAGUCAUCUCGACGAUCUCAUCCUCUUCUGUCAUCUCGUCCGUCUCUGGUCCCUCAACGCCAAACCCUAAUGAACAUCAAAACAAAAGAGAGAAUUAAAACCGUUGCUUGACGAGAUCUAAACCCUAACGAACAUCCAAACCCUAACGAGAUCUAGGGUUACGACUCACCUUGCUUGACGGAGCACCAGAGACAACGGCGAGGACGUCGUUGCCAAGAUCCGGCACCCUGGUACCUCAACGCAUCAAAGCGGAGCACCGAACCUGCCGGAGUCCGGCAACGGCGGCGUCGACGACAGAGACGAGAGAGAGAGGAUAAGAGGAGAUGGACGAGGUUACGUUCACAUUGACUUGGAGCAAGGAAGAAGGGGGUGGGGGAUGUAGAUCCGUGUGUCAAUCAGCCGCCGUGGCCCUCUGCUUCUCACCGGACGAAGGGAAGAAGAAGGUGGAUUUAGGGUUUCAGCCGGGGAGGAGACGCCGCGUCGAGAGCGAGUGGAAGAGGAGAGGGCGAGAGGCCGGCCGAGGGGGGGGGAUGAUUUAG
Molecule: long non-coding RNA, 865 nt
Filed under: Sorghum bicolor (sorghum)
Lineage: Eukaryota; Viridiplantae; Streptophyta; Magnoliopsida; Poales; Poaceae
Description: long non-coding RNA (SBIC_LNC011404)
Source: RNAcentral